Molecule: long non-coding RNA, 5968 nt
Filed under: Cicer arietinum (chickpea)
Lineage: Eukaryota; Viridiplantae; Streptophyta; Magnoliopsida; Fabales; Fabaceae
Description: long non-coding RNA (CARI_LNC001770)
Source: RNAcentral
GUGAUUCCUUUCAGUUUUCUUCUGAGUUGUUCUGAGGCCUCCUCUAUUGCCAAACCACGGAUUAGACAUGAAAAACAAAACAAAUAAUCGUUGUAGUUUCUAGUUUUUUUUUUGUUUUGUUUACUUUUGUUUUUUCUUUGCCACCUAAUACAUAUCAUGGAUCUAUCUAGCUACUUGUAAUAUCUUCCAGCCAAAAGUAAUAAUAUAUAUGUAAAUAGGUGAAACAAUAACUUCGCUCUGCAAAUACAGAAAUCAGAUAUGUUGAUUCUUAAUACAUUCUUCGUGUUUAUGUGCUAAUAUUUUUGUCUAUUCACAUUUUUAGCUUUUGCCGUCUUUAUGGAGGUAUCUUUUAUUUAAAUUUGAGGAUUUUAAGUGGGAUAUAGUAUGGUUGAAUGAAGACAAAAUGUGAACAGAAGGCAGCAGCAUAUUGCUGACCAUGACUGAUAAUGGUGUGCAUUGAGUGCUGCAUAAUUUAUACACUAUAUAUAAUAUAACAGGGUUAGAAUUGGUUGACUCCAUAGUGUCAAAUUUUAUAUUAUAAUAGCUCUGAUAAUUGUUAAUUGUAUAUCAACCAAUAUAAUUUAAAUAAUUUAAUAUUAAUCUAUAUCUCUAGUAUAGAAAUUUUAGACUUACUCUAUUAAGGAUACUGUCCACAAGCUUCCUUACUUAUUAGCAUUAAAUGCUCCUUAAGAAACAAACAAAUAAUAAUUAAUUAAUUUACAGAUUUGAUAUCUACUAUAUAAAGGAAACAAUUUGAAAUCAGGAAGGGAAGGGAUAAUACAAUCAAUUUGUACAAUAUUUAGUUUGUGGUGGGGGGUUCUCUUAAGAAUAAAUAAGACGAAUAGAAUCUAAUUCAUGCAAUACACAGACAACUUCUUGCAAGAAAGAAACGAAUGAUGAUAAAUAGAGCGGAUCUAAGAAGUUCUUUUGAAUCUAACCACUCAUCACCUAGUGACCAAAUCCAGAUUCAACAUCCAAAAGAUGAGUGGCUUCCUCUAACUGAAUCUAGAAAUGGUAAUACAUAUUUUGCAGCUUUUCAUCUUCUUAAUUCCAACAUUGCAUUUCAAGCUCUCAUGCUUCCUGUUGCCUUUGCCACUCUUGGUUGGUACGUGUAUUAUUCAACAUUAUUAUAAUUAUUAUUGUAAAUCUCACACACACUUCUUCUAUUUGACAACAAUUUCUUUGGAGUUAGAGCUUUCCUGUAUUUUGGAUACAAAUUUUAACAUCGACGAAUAGAGACUUUGGUCUUCAAUAUCUACUCACGGGUUACAUUUUGCCUUAUAAUUUCAUCAAUGAUUUCAGGGCAUGGGGCAGUGUGUGUUUGUCAAUAGCAUUCAUUUGACAAUUCUAUACCAUAUUUCUCCUAAUUGAACUUCGUGAAUCUGUCUCUGGAAUUCGCCACAGUAGAUACCUCUUCCCAGCAAUGUCUGCUUUUGGUAAGCCCAAUUUCCUUAUUAUUUCUUACUAAUAUGGAACUAUCAUAAGAGCAAAAAUAAUUCACUAUUAUAAAAAAAAUGUUAUUAUCCAUAAUAUGAAUAUGUCUCAACUACAUUAGGUUCUCAUUGUACAUAUAUUUAAUGGUUUGUUGGGUAUCACUAUCCGUCAUGGAAUGAAAAUUUGAAAAUUACUAUAGAUGUAAAGCCAAAAAAUAAAGAACAAUCAGGACUACACAUCAAAAUAAAAGAAAAAAAUGAAUUAAAGCCAAAUUUUGUACUCUUUUAUAAAAUAUUAGUGAAAAUAAAUUAAAAAUAGUUUUUCUAUCCAAAAAUUAGAUAAAAUGUAUAAUUUUAUUUAUGCAUUUUUGUUUUUAUUUUGAAAAUCACCUAUUAGCAAUUCAUAAAUAGUUUAAUUUUCAUGCACAAAUAGUAUAAAUAAAAUUUACAGAUAUAAAAGAGUAGAAAGUUAGCAGUUUAGUUCACAUGUUGAGAAUCACAAAGCGCAAUAUGGAGCAUAAGAAUUGUGAUUUCCAACUAGCAGUGUUCAUCAUCUUCCCAUGCCUCGGUUUAAUCCUAACCUUCAACUACUUCAUCUCAUUCAUCACAUGGAUCUUCAAGAUGUGCCUCCGAUCUGAAAAGCACCUCAUCAAAUCCUACGGUUCAUGGGCUAUAAUCACCGGAGCAACCGAUGGCAUCGGAAAAGCCUUCGCUUACCAACUAGCACACAGAAAUCUCAACCUAAUUAUCGUCAGUAGAAAUUCAAAGAAACUCGAAACAGUUGAAAACGAAAUCAAAACAAAAUACCCUCACGUUCAGAUUAAAACCAUCACUGUGGAUUUUUCCGGCGACAUUACGGUGGGUCUCCGGGAAAUAGAAGUUUUGGGACGUGAUUUGGAUGUUGGAAUUUUGAUUAACAAUGUGGGAAUUACUUAUCCUAAGGCUAUGUUCUUUCAUGAAGUGAAGGAGGAAAUGUGGAUGAAGAUUGUUAGUGUGAACAUUGAAAGUAUGAUGAGAGUAACGAAAGGUGUUUUGUGUGGGAUGAUGGAAAGGAAGAAGGGUAUGAUUGUAAAUGUUGGGUCUGGUGCAGGGGUACUAGUGCCUUCACAUCCUCUGUUUACAAUCUAUGCUGCAACUAAAGCGUAAGCUUUCUUUCUUUCACUGCAAUUAGUUACUGCACACUCUUUUGGUCACUUUCUCUUAAGGGUAGACCAAUGGGAGUGUCUUACACUACAUUGGUGUCACAACAAGAAUCAACCCUCGUGAAGAUCAGUGAUGUUAUCAAUGCUAUUGGGAUUAUUGUGCUUUCCUUCAGAGGUCACAAUGUUGUGCUAGAAAUACAGGCAAGUAAUUAAUAAUAUUAUUAUAUAAUAUUCAAUUGUAUAUGCUUCAUCAUAUCCAAAUUCAACUACAUUUUAUAUAUAAUAUUACUACUAUGAUUAAAAAUUGCAAUAUGAUAUUCUCAUAUAUUAAAACUCUAUUUUGGAUUUUUGUUUCGCAUGGGACACCACCUUCCAAUUUAAAGGAAACAUCAAAAGAAUUGAUGCGUAGAGGAGUGACCAUUUCAUAUAUACUCAUUGCGAUGUGUGUUUUUCCCCUCGCAAUUGUCGGAUUUUUGGCAUAUGGAAAUCAGGCAAGCACACGUGCUAACAAAAAAAUAUUUAUUUCAAACAAUAUUAUUAUAUUUAUAUUAAUGAAUGUACAUUUUUUUUUUUAUAAAUAAAUAACAUUUCAGUUUGCGUAUGAAUGUUUCUUUCAGAUACAUGGUCGAGGAUUGUUAACUGGGUUUCGACAAUUUCACAAAAAUCAAUUAUCAAAAUUCUCAAUGGGUGCAAUAUAUGUUCUAGUGAUAGUACAUUGUUUGUGUAGCUUCCAAGUGUAUGCCAUGCUCGUUUUUGACAACCUAGAAUUAAGAUACACGAGCAUAAAGAAUAAGAAAUGCCCACAAUGGGUGAGAAUAUGCUUGCGAUUAUUCACCCAAAUAGUUCUACGUAAUGAAAUUAUAUGUUAUUUCAUUUAAAAUAUGUUAAAUUGUUAUUUUUUUAGUUAAAAAAUCACUAGGACUAAAACUGUCCAGUUUUAGAAGAGGUAGACCAAUUCUAAGAAUUGGUGAAAAUAAAUAGACAAAAACUAUAAUUAAAUUUAAAAACUAACUAACAAUUCAUGUAAUUAAAAAUCAAAUAAUUAGAAGUUAAAAUGAAUAAUUACAUAAAUAUAAAAAUUUAAAAAUCGUAAUAGUUUUACUAGCAAUGUAAAUUCAUGGAUAUUAUCAUGCCUCCAUUCCCAAGUUUUAAUUUAAAAAAAAAACCACAUUCACAUCUGUUCAAAUUGGAUUUUCUUCGUCAAAAUCAAAACAUGGGUUCAAGUAGAUAUCACUUGUGCAAGUUUUGCUGCAUGUUUAGUUAGAGAAUGCCUUCAAAAGUUUGAGAGUUUAUCGGCAUUUCACAAGGAACAUAUCUAUAUCUAUUAAUUCUUCUAUUAAUUAAUACUAGUAUCAUAUCCAUUAAAGGUGUUCUUAGAUUGGAUUGAUUCGGCUUUGAAAGAAAAAACCAUUUGAUUCACUCUCUUCGAUUUUGUUAUUUAAUCAUUCAAUCGGUUUGAUUUUAAAUUAAAUUUGAUCCAACAAACCACUAAUUAUAUUUAUACAGCACACCAGUAAUUAUGUUUUCACCAAAUUGAAGACACAACACAUUUCCAAGUGUUUAAACAGGCUGCAACUGGAGGAGUCAAAACAGAGUACUUAAUCGGCAUCAGAUUUGUCUAUUUGGUAGUAGGAUUUUUUGAAUUAGGCUAAAAAGUCUACAUAGAAUACGAACAACAAAAUUAGUACACGACUUCGGCCCUAUUUGGGCUUUCGAGUUGGCCCAUAUUUUUUCUUAGAAUAAAAAUAAAAAUAUUACUUGUUAGUAAUUGUUAAUUACAAAAGAUGACAAAAUAUUAUUAAUUAUUUUUGCAUGCAAUAAUUAAUAUAUGUUACAAUUUAAAUAAAAAAUUUAUUAAUACAAUCUAUAAAGACUACUCGAUAACCGUUGGUUAAACCAACUGAUUUAUUUUGAUAGCUGUAGUUACAACCACUUAACUUUUUUCUUGUAUUAUUGAUUGGGCUUUUGAUAACCGUUAGUAUACGAUUCGGCCCUAUUUGGGCUUUUGAGUCGGCCCACAUUUUUUUUUAUAAUAAACAUAAAAAUAUUAUUUGUUGGUAAUUGUAAAUUACAAAAUAUUAAUAUAUUUAUUAAUUAUUUUUACAUACAAUAAUUAAUAUAUGUUAUAAUUUAAAAUUAAAAAAAAUUAUUAUUAAUACAGUCUAUACGGACUACUCAAAAGUCGUUGGUUAAACUGACUAACUCAUUUUGAUAGAUGUAGCUACAACCACUUCACUAGUUUCUAGUAUCAUUUUUUUUUGCUGAUUUUCCUUCAAAAUUUAUUUUGGUCCACUUCACAUAUUUAUUUUCACUAUUCAGACUUACAAAAUUUAUUUUGGUCCACGUAUAUGGAGAAGAAAUUAUAACUGAAGUGUACAAAUGAACUCUAUUGAAAUUUCAUACUUGAGAGUUUAUACAUGAAUUCAGAGAUCGAAAGAUUUUGAUAUAUUUAUUUUAUAAAUAAAUAAAUUAAUGGUUAUUUUUAUAAAUUAAAUAAUUAUUUAUUAAUUUUUAUAUUUUAAAAAUAUUAUUUUAUAAAAAAUAUUAUUUUGAUGAUAAUCAUUAUAUUAAUUAUUUAUAUUUUAUAGUAAAAAUUAUUAAUUUUUAUAAAUUAAUAAUUAUCUUUAUGAAUCAAAGAUCAUUUCACGGCAAUUAUUCAAAACUCCCAAUUUAAUAAUUUUAUUGGGGUGAAAAAUUAAUCAAUGUUUUGAGGCAUACAUACUCAUAUUUUUAUUUGCAUAUGCAGUAUGAACAACAAGGAAGGCCUUUACCCAAGUUCGGGGAAUGGGAUGUGAAUGAUCCUGCUUCAGCUGAAGGAUUCACUGUUAUAUUCAACAAGGCCAGAGAUGAGAAAAAAACUGGUGGAGGAGGAUCGGGCCGAAUUACGUCCCAGCGAAGAUCUAAUUCGCGCAAGGAUGAUGAUAAAUCUUCCAAGGUAACAUAUCAAUUCAAUUGGUCACAUUAAUUUAUUAUCUCUACAAUAACAACCACAAUUUGUUAUGUAGAUGAAUAUCUAAUAGUAUAAUUAUAUAUUUUUGAUGCAGAGAAAGUGGUUUUGCUUUAAACCGUAGAAGACAGAAAAGGAUGUGUGUUCUGCUGCUUAAAAGAUAUAUUGUGUGGUGAUUCCUUUCAGUUUUCUUCUGAGUUGUUCUGAGGCCUCCUCUAUUGCCAAACCACGGAUUAGACAUGAAAAACAAAACAAAUAAUCGUUGUAGUUUCUAGUUUUUUUUUUGUUUUGUUUACUUUUGUUUUUUCUUUGCCACCUAAUACAUAUCAUGGAUCUAUCUAGCUACUUGUAAUAUCUUCCAGCCAAAAGUAAUAAUAUAUAUGUAAAUAGGUGAAACAAUAACUUCGCUCUGCAAAUACAGAAAUCAGAUAUGUUGAUUCUUAAUA